Long non-coding RNA from Gossypium arboreum, 521 nucleotides. RefSeq lists it as uncharacterized. The record is from RefSeq and is a predicted model, not a curated record. Lineage: Eukaryota; Viridiplantae; Streptophyta; Magnoliopsida; Malvales; Malvaceae. The transcript has 2 exons.
AAAAGUGAAAAAGUUUAGAUAAAAAUAUAUAUUUAAAAAAAAUCUAGAUAAAACACGAAAUCCUUUUAGAAAAUGAUCCGAGACUCAUGUAAGAAAUUUUUGAGCCGGGACCGAAUUAAAUUCCUAAUUGCCUACCCUUAGUUUUCUUUUCCUCUUCAGUUGACUGCCCCCAAUUUCUAUCAGCUAGUUCCUAAAUCCCCCCUAACAAAAUAACUUUGCCUUCUCCACUCCAACACCCACCAGCCACCACCAUCGUUGUUCAUCAGUCAGGCAGUCACCACCGGUCCACCAUCAUUGUUCACCAGUCAGGUAGUCACCAUCGGUCCACCCGUCAAUCUCUUUCAAUUUGAAAUUUGUCUUCUUGAGGAUAAAGAGGGUACAAGACAACCAAUCCACCGAAAAAUCAGAGUACACAAAAAUUUGUAUUGCUUUUUGCAGUUUGAAAUUUGUGUUUUGCUUUGCUUACAUUAAGGAUACGUUUAUCUCUUUAAAAAUGGUUUCCGAAGUAUAAUUUCUGGAAA